RNAcentral lists this ribosomal RNA (319 nucleotides) under uncultured fungus. RNAcentral describes it as "eukaryotic LSU rRNA". It matches the Rfam family "Eukaryotic large subunit ribosomal RNA", at positions 1 to 311 of the family's 3401-position model. Lineage: Eukaryota; Fungi. The record is from RNAcentral.
UUGAUCUCAAAUCAGGUAGGACUACCCGCUGAACUUAAGCAUAUCAAUAAGCGGAGGAAAGAAACUAACAAGGAUUCCCCUAGUAACUGCGAGUGAAGCGGGAAGAGCUCAAAUUUAAAAUCUGGCGUGCCUCUGGCCGUCCGAGUUGUAGUCUGGAGAAGCGUUUUCCGUGUUGGACCGUGUAUAAGUCUCUUGGAACAGGGCGUCAUAGAGGGUGAGAAUCCCGUCUUUGACACGGACUACCAAUGCUUUGUGAUGCGCUCUCAAAGAGUCGAGUUGUUUGGGAAUGCAGCUCAAAAAUGGGUGGUAAAUUCCAUCU